GCAUGACCACACGCCGGCGCUCGCCUCCCUCCGAAGGCAGAGGCCACAGGUUCGAAUCCUGUCGGGUGCGCCA
This 73-nucleotide transfer RNA is filed under the name Rhodoblastus sphagnicola. Its description in RNAcentral is "tRNA-Arg". The record is from RNAcentral. Lineage: Bacteria; Pseudomonadati; Pseudomonadota; Alphaproteobacteria; Hyphomicrobiales; Rhodoblastaceae.